GGGCCGUUAGCUCAGUCUGGUAGAGCACCUGACUCUUAAUCAGGGGGUCGCAGGUUCGAAUCCUGCACGGCCCA
Molecule: transfer RNA, 74 nt
Filed under: Pseudothermotoga thermarum DSM 5069
Lineage: Bacteria; Thermotogati; Thermotogota; Thermotogae; Thermotogales; Thermotogaceae
Description: Thermotoga thermarum DSM 5069 tRNA
Rfam family: tRNA
About the family: Transfer RNA (tRNA) molecules are approximately 80 nucleotides in length.
Source: Rfam by way of RNAcentral